RNAcentral lists this ribosomal RNA (495 nucleotides) under uncultured bacterium. RNAcentral describes it as "partial 16S ribosomal RNA". It matches the Rfam family "Bacterial small subunit ribosomal RNA", at positions 28 to 507 of the family's 1533-position model. The record is from RNAcentral.
GACGAACGCUGGCGGCGUGCCUAAUACAUGCGAGUAGAACGCUGAAGGAGGAGCUUGCUUCUCUGGAUGAGUUGCGAACGGGUGAGUAACGCGUAGGUAACCUGCCUGGUAGCGGGGGAUAACUAUUGGAAACGAUAGCUAAUACCGCAUAAGAGUAGAUGUUGCAUGACAUUUGCUUAAAAGGUGCAAUUGCAUCACUACCAGAUGGACCUGCGUUGUAUUAGCUAGUUGGUGAGGUAACGGCUCACCAAGGCAACGAUACAUAGCCGACCUGAGAGGGUGAUCGGCCACCCUGGGACUGAGACACGGCCCAGACUCCUACGGGAGGCAGCAGUAGGGAAUCUUCGGCAAUGGACGGAAGUCUGACCGAGCAACGCCGCGUGAGUGAAGAAGGUUUUCGGAUCGUAAAGCUCUGUUGUAAGAGAAGAACGAGUGUGAGAGUGGAAAGUUCACACUGUGACGGUAUCUUACCAGAAAGGGACGGCUAACUACGUG